Long non-coding RNA from Solea senegalensis (Senegalese sole), 2157 nucleotides. RefSeq lists it as uncharacterized. Lineage: Eukaryota; Metazoa; Chordata; Actinopteri; Pleuronectiformes; Soleidae. The transcript is spliced from 2 exons. The record is from RefSeq and is a predicted model, not a curated record.
AGGACAUUGUAACUACACACCCUUUUACCAAGAUCUCCAACUGGAGCAGUGGGAACACCUACUUCCACAUCACCAUCGGCAACCUGGUCAGAGGAAGCAAACUGCUGUGUGAGACCUCACUGGGCUACAAGAUGGACGACCUGCUGACGUCUUACAUCAGUCAGAUGCUGACCACUAUGAACAAGCAGCGCUCCGGGCGCGGCCAAAGCAAGUGAACUUCUUACUGGCAGGAGGCCACUGAGCUCAUCCGGCUCCUGCGCCCUAUUGGCCAGCACUGCAGCUGGGGGCGGACCUUCGCCCACCAGCUGUGGUGGAUGAGCCGCAGUCCUUCUGCUAGCUCAGAAGGGUCAAAGAUCACCGGGGAGAGUUCAGCUGCCAGCAGUGACGACCCCGGCGAAGGCCCCAGCAACCAUUACCACUACAACUAUAAAUAUAACUACGACGAGGACGAGCUGUCCAGUGAGGACGACUACCUGUGACUCCCUGAAACUCCCUGAACCCUGCUGUGGUUCUGUGGUGUGGGGAGUCAUUACUGCUGCCAUGGUUACAUCAAUAACCGUUCAAACUGAAGACGCCUCAUCUUCACAUUCAGCGACUGUGGCUGCUGAUGUUCUUAUGAAGGUAAAAUCCUUUAACCUAUUUAUUUAUGGGAGUAAUGAUGAAGCUCUGGACUGAGUGAGAGGACACUUUGUGUCAAGAGAUUUUAGGCUUGACAUAAAGGCCCCGUAUACAUGAGAAUGAGUUUAGAGAACUUGCAAACAUUUUUAUUUGUAUGUAUCGUUUUUUAUCCACAUGUAAUGGCGUUUUGUGAGCCCUAAUAUACUGUUUUAUUAAAAUGGGUCUCAGAGUAAAAUAAUCUCAAAUCACCACCUUUGCAUUUUCGUGUCUUUAACUAACCUACAACUUUGGGAAAACAAUGUCAUAGGCCAUCUUUCUAGCCUAACCCAGCUAACUUUAAGGUUUUCUGUGGCAGCGUUACAGCACCACACACUGGACUGGCAUAUAUACUACUUAGUCUUUGCAUAACAUGAUAGCAACAAUUGCAGAAGUUACUAAAAAGCCUUAAAUUGAAUUUGGCUGCUGUUGAAGGAACUGCCAUUACAUGAACAAAGUGAGCAGUGGGUGGUGCUGCAGGCGCCAGGAAGCUCAUCUAAUGACUGUAAUUGGUUCAAGUCUCAUUUUGAAUGUUGAAUGAUCUUUUAUGUUAAAUAAAUACAUGUAAUGAACAUUUAUGGGCCUUGCUGUCAAAUUUGACACAUUAAGACAUUUUAAAAUGUUUGAUUCAGGAAAGAACACACUGACCUGUGGCGCAGGUUGGCAAGGAUGUAAAAUGUCAGUGUUUUCAUCCAGCCAUUUGUUUGUUUUCAUGCGUGCGUUUGUAACGAGUAUUAGAUCAUGUGGGAUUAAGUUUAUCUAACCCUAAAUCACACUGAAGCUGUAGAUAUUUCGUUUUUCUUUUUUUCCUCAUUGCUUCUUAAAACACUGACUGUUCUUGUGUGUUAUUUCACUGUUUUUCUUCUUGGCUUGGAUAUAAACAAUCAUUAUGUGAGACACAUUAAACACCUGUUUUGUUAUUUAUGGCCUAACGUGUGUAAUUGUGAAUUGUUGGGAUUUGUAAUACUUAAUUCAUUGUUAAUGUUUACACCUCUUUGUGUUUGAUUUUUAAAUUUCAUGUCUUGCAGUUACAACAUACAUAGAAACACAUUACCCAGCAUCCUGUGCAGUUUCAAACGUUCCUGUAGUUUCAUGGAAAUUCACCUCAACCCUCUUCAUCAUGAGGAAUGUACAACUGAGGUCACAAGAUAACUGUCAUUCAUAUCCAACACCAGAAACAUGAUGAAACCAUGAGAUAUGAAACUGAAAAUCUUGUAGUUUGACCAUGAAUUAAGAUGUAUUUUGUUGAAAUAUGAUCACACUAACAGUGCAUUCUGUGUUAUGUUAUUGUUGUAUGUUAUUAUACAAAUGUCAUUUUUGAAGAAUUGUGCACUUACAACCCUGAGGUCUUGUUUUCUAUUGUUAAUAAGAAAUGAAAGAUAACAUUUUUAUGUUACACUUGAAGAAACUUACACAUCAAAGCAAAACUCAUUUAGGUGCAGUGAAACUAAUCAAUCACUUUAGAAGAAUAAAUAAAAUAAAAACAUACCUCAUCAAGGCUGA